GCCCAGGUGACGGAAUCGGUAGACGUAGCGGGCUUAAAACUCGCAGCCGAAAGGCGUGCGGGUUCGAGUCCCGCCCUGGGCACCA
This 85-nucleotide transfer RNA is filed under the name Pseudomonadota bacterium. RNAcentral describes it as "tRNA-Leu". It matches the Rfam family "tRNA". Rfam says of the family: Transfer RNA (tRNA) molecules are approximately 80 nucleotides in length. Their secondary structure includes four short double-helical elements and three loops (D, anti-codon, and T loops). Lineage: Bacteria; Pseudomonadati; Pseudomonadota. The record is from RNAcentral.